This is a long non-coding RNA of Felis catus (domestic cat), 849 nucleotides long. RefSeq lists it as uncharacterized. The transcript is spliced from 2 exons. NCBI's taxonomy places the organism in Eukaryota, Metazoa, Chordata, Mammalia, Carnivora, Felidae. The record is from RefSeq and is a predicted model, not a curated record.
UUGAGGAGGCAGGUAGGUAGGUAGGUGGGAAGAAGACUGCGCAGGGGCACGUGUGCAGGGUCCUUCCAGGGGGAGGGGAGCGCGGGGCAGGUGUGGCCACAAGCUGGUCUGCGCGCGCCAUCUAGUGGGCGCCCCGGGGACGGUCCGUUUGGGCAAGAGCCGCAGGAGCCAAUCAGAAUCGCCGUCUUGCCGGUUGUGAAAUUAAGGCCCUUUGGGGAGAGGUGUGCAGGGCUCCGCGCUAAGCUAUGCAAAAAAAAAAAAAAAAAAAAAAAAAGGAGGGGGGAGUGCAUUGCCACGUUUCCUGCGCGUUUCCCUCUGGGGUGCGCGGGGAGGGCCGGGGCCUAAGGAUUCUUUACAGCCGCCUCUAAUCCAACUGGCCAGUGACCCUGGCCCCCUGGUUACAGAGUACUCUCAAAGUCACCACUACUCUUAAGAGGGUCCCCCCUUUAAUCACACUGGUAUGCUGAAGAGAAGCGGCGGUGGACGUUCACUGCGCCCAUGUCACGGGACAAACCCCGGGCAUAUAUCGUUGCCGCCCACAGCCUGGAUGAGGCUAUCCUAGGGGGAAUUAUAUUGUCCUUUUGCAGGUGGGAUGACGGAGGUUCACGGAGGCGGGCUGUGUUGAAGAUCACAAAGCUUAAGGAAGGGGUGAGGCAGGUCUGAACUGAGACGGCCUGACUUUCUGUAGGUGCGCACGUCUCCCCGUCUCCCUGGCUGCGGACAUGACGCUGUCCCUUCGCUGACCAGCACGCAGAAAGAAAAUGAUGUUCUCCGAAUACAGCCUCCUGAUGAUUUUACCACCUUUAAGGGGUGUGUGUAAAACAGAAGCAAAUAAAACCCUUCACAUAA